RNAcentral lists this ribosomal RNA (402 nucleotides) under uncultured bacterium. RNAcentral describes it as "bacterial SSU rRNA". It matches the Rfam family "Bacterial small subunit ribosomal RNA", at positions 356 to 773 of the family's 1533-position model. The record is from RNAcentral.
GGGGAAUAUUGCACAAUGGGGGAAACCCUGAUGCAGCAACGCCGCGUGAAGGAUGAAGGUUUUCGGAUUGUAAACUUCUUUAGUCAGGGACGAAAAAAUGACGGUAGCUGAAGAAUAAGCCACGGCUCACUACGUGCCAGCAGCCGCGGUCAUACGUAGGUGGCAAGCGUUGUCCGGAAUUACUGGGUGUAAAGGGCGUGUAGGCGGGAAUGUAAGUCAGAUGUGAAAUCCCAGGGCUUAACCCUGGAGCUGCAUCUGAAACUAUGUUUCUUGAGUGCCGGAGAUGAAAGCGGAAUUCCGAGUGUAGCGGUGAGAUGCGUAGAUAUUAGGAGGAACACCAGUGGCGAAGGCGGCUUUCUGGACGGUAACUGACGCUGAGGCGCGAAAGCGUGGGGAGCAAAC